Molecule: ribosomal RNA, 257 nt
Filed under: uncultured bacterium
Lineage: Bacteria
Description: partial 16S ribosomal RNA
Rfam family: Bacterial small subunit ribosomal RNA
Source: RNAcentral
UACGUAGGGUGCAAGCGUUUAAUCGGAAUUACUGGGCGUAAAGAGCGUGUAGGCGGCCAGACAGGUCUGCUGUGAAAACUCGAGGCUCAACCUCGAGACGCCGGUGGAAACCGUCUGGCUAGAGUCCGGAAGAGGAGAGUGGAAUUCCUGGUGUAGCGGUGAAAUGCGCAGGAUAUCAGGAAGAACACCCGUGGCUAAGGCGGCUCUCUAGUACGGUACUGACGCUGAGACGCGAAAGCGUGGGGGAGCGAACAGGG